This 483-nucleotide ribosomal RNA is filed under the name uncultured bacterium. RNAcentral describes it as "partial 16S ribosomal RNA". It matches the Rfam family "Bacterial small subunit ribosomal RNA", at positions 28 to 523 of the family's 1533-position model. The record is from RNAcentral.
GAUGAACGCUGGCGGCGUGCUUAACACAUGCAAGUCGAACGGUGAAGCAGAGCUUGCUCUGUGGAUCAGUGGCGAACGGGUGAGUAACACGUGAGCAACCUGCCCUGGACUCUGGGAUAAGCGCUGGAAACGGCGUCUAAUACUGGAUACGAGACGUGGCCGCAUGGUCAACGUUUGGAAAGAUUUUUUGGUUCAGGAUGGGCUCGCGGCCUAUCAGCUUGUUGGUGAGGUAAUGGCUCACCAAGGCGUCGACGGGUAGCCGGCCUGAGAGGGUGACCGGCCACACUGGGACUGAGACACGGCCCAGACUCCUACGGGAGGCAGCAGUGGGGAAUAUUGCACAAUGGGCGAAAGCCUGAUGCAGCAACGCCGCGUGAGGGAUGACGGCCUUCGGGUUGUAAACCUCUUUUAGCAAGGAAGAAGCGAAAGUGACGGUACUUGCAGAAAAAGCGCCGGCUAACUACGUGCCAGCAGCCGCGGUAA